RNAcentral lists this transfer RNA (73 nucleotides) under Panacagrimonas perspica. It matches the Rfam family "tRNA". From Rfam's summary of the family: Transfer RNA (tRNA) molecules are approximately 80 nucleotides in length. Their secondary structure includes four short double-helical elements and three loops (D, anti-codon, and T loops). Further hydrogen bonds mediate the characteristic L-shaped molecular structure. tRNAs have two regions of fundamental functional importance: the anti-codon, which is responsible for specific mRNA codon recognition, and the 3' end, to which the tRNAs corresponding amino acid is attached (by aminoacyl-tRNA synthetases). tRNAs cope with the degeneracy of the genetic code in two manners: having more than one tRNA (with a specific anti-codon) for a particular amino acid; and 'wobble' base-pairing, i.e. permitting non-standard base-pairing at the 3rd anti-codon position. The record is from Rfam by way of RNAcentral. Lineage: Bacteria; Pseudomonadati; Pseudomonadota; Gammaproteobacteria; Nevskiales; Nevskiaceae.
GGGGACGUAGCUCAGCUGGGAGAGCGCCGCGUUCGCAAUGCGGAGGUCGAGGGUUCGAUCCCCUUCGUCUCCA